This 732-nucleotide ribosomal RNA is filed under the name Tonlesapia tsukawakii. RNAcentral describes it as "partial small subunit ribosomal RNA". It matches the Rfam family "Bacterial small subunit ribosomal RNA", at positions 519 to 1533 of the family's 1533-position model. The record is from RNAcentral. Lineage: Eukaryota; Metazoa; Chordata; Actinopteri; Syngnathiformes; Callionymidae.
GGUUAUACGAGCGACCCAAAUUGAAAGAAAACGGCGUAAAGGGUGGUUAUAAAUUUUUAAAAAUAGAGCCGAACUUACUCCUGACUGUUAUACGUUACGAAAUAAAGAAGAACAAAUACGAAAGUAGCUCUAAAUAUUUGAACCCACGAAAGUUAGGAAACAAACUGGGAUUAGAUACCCCACUAUGCCUAACCAUAAACCCUGAUAAUUUAAUACAUCCAUUAUCCGCCAGGGUACUACGAGCGUAAGCUUAAAACCCAAAGGACUUGGCGGUGCUUUAGACCCCCCUAGAGGAGCCUGUUCUAUAACCGAUAAUCCCCGUUAAACCUCACCCUCUUUUGCCAAAUCCGCCUAUAUACCACCGUCGUCAGCUUACCCUUUGAAGGUUUACUAGUAAGCAUAAUUGGUUUAACCCUAAACGUCAGGUCGAGGUGCAGUGAAUAAGAGGGGAAGAAAUGGGCUACAUUUACUAAAACUAGUAAAUACGGAAAAUGUACUGAAAUGUACUUUAAAAGGAGGAUUUAGUAGUAAGGAAUGAAUAGAGUGCAUUUCUGAAACUGGCCCUGAAGCGCGCACACACCGCCCGUCACUCUCCCCACAAAAUAAACUCAGACUUCCAUAAAACCAAAAACAUAUUUAUUAGGGGAGGCAAGUCGUAACAUGGUAAGCGUACCGGAAGGUGCUCUUGGAAAACCAGAGCGUAGCUAAAUAGUACAGCCUCUCUCUUACACC